AUUGAACGCUGGCGGCAGGCCUAACACAUGCAAGUCGAGCGGAGCGGCGGACGGGUGGGUAAUGCCUAGGUAUCUGCACGUUAGUAGGGGAUAAAGUCCGGAAACGGGCGCUAAUACCGCAUACUAUCAGAUGACUCUAGGUCGGAUUAGCUAGUUGGUGGGGUAAAGGCUUACCAAGGCGACGAUCCGUAACUGGUCUGAGAGGAUGAUCAGUCACACUGGAACUGAGACACGGUCCAGACUCCUACGGGAGGCAGCAGUGGGGAAUAUUGGACAAUGGGCGAAAGCCUGAUCCAGCCAUGCCGCGUGUGUGAAGAAGGUCUUCGGAUUGUAAAGCACUUUAAGUUGGGAGGCGUUACCAACAGAGUAAGCACCGGCUAACUUCGUGCCAGCAGCCGCGGUAAUAC
RNAcentral lists this ribosomal RNA (407 nucleotides) under uncultured bacterium. Its description in RNAcentral is "partial 16S ribosomal RNA". It matches the Rfam family "Bacterial small subunit ribosomal RNA", at positions 30 to 526 of the family's 1533-position model. The record is from RNAcentral.